Molecule: ribosomal RNA, 301 nt
Filed under: uncultured bacterium
Lineage: Bacteria
Description: partial 16S ribosomal RNA
Rfam family: Bacterial small subunit ribosomal RNA
Source: RNAcentral
CAGCAGCCGCGGGAAUACGGAGGGUGCAAGCGUUAAUCGGAAUUACUGGGCGUAAAGCGCACGCAGGCGGUCUGACAAGUCAGAUGUGAAAUCCCCGGGCUUAACCUGGGAACUGCAUUUGAAACUGUCAGGCUGGAGUCUUGUAGAGGGGGGUAGAAUUCCAGGUGUAGCGGUGAAAUGCGUAGAGAUCUGGAGGAAUACCGGUGGCGAAGGCGGCCCCCUGGACAAAGACUGACGCUCAGGUGCGAAAGCGUGGGGAGCAAACAGGAUUAGAUACCCCUGUAGUCCCUGUCUCUUAUAC